GACCUCGGAUCGGGUAGGGAUACCCGCUGAACUUAAGCAUAUCAAUAAGCGGAGGAAAAGAAACCAACAGGGAUUGCCUCAGUAACGGCGAGUGAAGCGGCAACAGCUCAAAUUUGAAAUCUGGCUCUUUCAGGGUCCGAGUUGUAAUUUGUAGAAGAUGCUUCGAGUGUGGUACCGGUCUAAGUUCCUUGGAACAGGACGUCAUAGAGGGUGAGAAUCCCGUAUGUGACUGGUUACCUUCGCUCAUGUGAAGCUCUUUCGACGAGUCGAGUUGUUUGGGAAUGCAGCUCAAAAUGGGUGGUAAAUUUCAUCUAAAGCUAAAUAUUGGCCAGAGACCGAUAGCGCACAAGUAGAGUGAUCGAAAGAUGAAAAGCACUUUGGAAAGAGAGUUAAACAGUACGUGAAAUUGUUGAAAGGGAAGCGC
This 424-nucleotide ribosomal RNA is filed under the name uncultured fungus. RNAcentral's name for it is "eukaryotic LSU rRNA". It matches the Rfam family "Eukaryotic large subunit ribosomal RNA", at positions 1 to 422 of the family's 3401-position model. Lineage: Eukaryota; Fungi. The record is from RNAcentral.